ACGGAAGGCAGCAGUGGGGAAUAUUGGGCAAUGGGCGCAAGCCUGACCCAGCAACGCCGCGUGAAGGAUGAAGGUCUUCGGAUUGUAAACUUCUUUAAUUGGGGAAGAAAAAAAUGACCUACCCAAAGAAUAAGCCACGGCUAACUACGUGCCAGCAGCCGCGGUAAUACGUAGGUGGCAAGCGUUAUCCGGAUUUACUGGGUGUAAAGGGCGUGUAGGCGGCUCUGCAAGUCAGAAGUGAAAUUCCUGGGCUCAACCCGGGCGCUGCUUCGGAAACUGCAGAACUUGAGUACUGGAGGGGAAAGCGGAAUUCCUAGUGUAGCGGUAAAAUGCGCAGAUAUUAGGAGGAACACCGGUGGCGAAGGCGGCUUUCUGGACAGUAACUGACGCUGAGGCGCGAAAGCGUGGGGAGCAAACAGGAUUAGAUACCCUGGUA
RNAcentral lists this ribosomal RNA (436 nucleotides) under uncultured Saccharofermentans sp. Its description in RNAcentral is "partial 16S ribosomal RNA". It matches the Rfam family "Bacterial small subunit ribosomal RNA", at positions 341 to 792 of the family's 1533-position model. The record is from RNAcentral. Lineage: Bacteria; Bacillati; Bacillota; Clostridia; Eubacteriales; Oscillospiraceae.